GAUGAACGCUGGCGGCGUGCUUAACACAUGCAAGUCGAACGAAGCAUUUAGAACAGAUUACUUCGGUUUGAAGUUCUUUAUGACUGAGUGGCGGACGGGUGAGUAAUGCGUGGGUAACCUGCCUUGUACUGGGGGAUAGCAGCUGGAAACGGCUGGUAAUACCGCAUAAGCGCACAAUGUUGCAUGACAUGGUGUGAAAAACUCCGGUGGUAUAAGAUGGACCCGCGUCUGAUUAGCUAGUUGGUGAGAUAACAGCCCACCAAGGCGACGAUCAGUAGCCGACCUGAGAGGGUGACCGGCCACAUUGGGACUGAGACACGGCCCAGACUCCUACGGGAGGCAGCAGUGGGGAAUAUUGCACAAUGGAGGAAACUCUGAUGCAGCGACGCCGCGUGAGUGAAGAAGUAAUUCGUUAUGUAAAGCUCUAUCAGCAGGGAAGAUAGUGACGGUACCUGACUAAGAAGCUCCGGCUAAAUACGUG
This 481-nucleotide ribosomal RNA is filed under the name uncultured bacterium. RNAcentral's name for it is "partial 16S ribosomal RNA". It matches the Rfam family "Bacterial small subunit ribosomal RNA", at positions 28 to 507 of the family's 1533-position model. The record is from RNAcentral.